UGCCUUAUAAUUUGAGGCUAGAAUGAAUGGUUUGACGAAGGUUAAUCUGUCUCCAUCUUAUUUUUUAGAAUUUAAUUUUUAAGUGAAAAAGCUUAAAUUUUUUAAAGGGACGAGAAGACCCUAAUGAGCUUGUAAUUUUAUUAUUGUUAUUUAAAAUAUUUAGAUAGCAAUAUAUAAAUUUUAAUUGGGGUGAUUAAGGAAUAAGUUGAAUAUAGUAACUUCCUUAAAUUGAAUAUUUAUAGAUAAAGUAACCAAUAUAAUAUUGCUUAUAAUACAGUUACCAUAGGGAUAACAGCGUAAUUCGUUUAGAGAGUUCUUAUUGAAAAACGAGAUUGCGACCUCGAUGUUGGAUUAAAGUAACCUUAAGGUGCAGAAGCUUUAAAGGUUGGUCUGUUCGACCAUUAA
Molecule: ribosomal RNA, 405 nt
Filed under: Dosidicus gigas (jumbo flying squid)
Lineage: Eukaryota; Metazoa; Mollusca; Cephalopoda; Oegopsida; Ommastrephidae
Description: partial 16S ribosomal RNA
Rfam family: Bacterial large subunit ribosomal RNA
Source: RNAcentral